RNAcentral lists this long non-coding RNA (513 nucleotides) under Mytilus galloprovincialis (Mediterranean mussel). Lineage: Eukaryota; Metazoa; Mollusca; Bivalvia; Mytilida; Mytilidae. The record is from RNAcentral.
GUUUGUUUAAAUGUUAACACUUUAAAAGGUUAUUAGUCAUGCCGAAAUUUUGUCAUUUCGGUAUUAUUUGAUCUUUUUGGUGUACAGUUCUCAUUUGUCAAUAUCGUUAAUCAUAUCUGUAUACUUAAAUAUGUCCACAGUAUGAUCCGGAUCGUCAAUUCUAAGCUAUCGAUUUAAUAAUGUACCGUAUCUACCAAGUCAUCACAAUAGUAGAUGUUUUUCACUUGUUCCGUUGAUCAUAUUUAUUGGUAGCGUUUGAUUUUUUUUCAAUUUUCUUGGACUUUACCCUUUUUUUAAAUUUGCCUUGGAAUUCAGUAUUCAUGUUAUUCCUUUUACUAUUUUCCCGCUUUUUAAACUCUAAUUUAAUUACGUAACUUUGAAUUUCAUUCAUGAAAAUCAUCAUGCCAUCGCAAUUUUUUUAAUUCAAUUCCAGAAUGGCAAUACUUUUCAGACUUUCAACAUGUUAGUCUACAACUAUAAGUUAUCUUGGCUAUAGCUCGUAUUGAAAUUAAC